RNAcentral lists this ribosomal RNA (271 nucleotides) under uncultured Glomeromycotina. Its description in RNAcentral is "partial large subunit ribosomal RNA". Lineage: Eukaryota; Fungi; Glomeromycota. The record is from RNAcentral.
UUGAAAGGGAAACGAUUGAAGUAGUAUGUGGUGGGAAUAAAUUAGGGGAAAUUAGGUGAUUUUGUUGGAGGUUAAGUGAUUUGAAUGCAUAAAAUAAUUGGGGGAAGGUAGUCUUGGGAGUGUUAUAGCUUGAUAGAUGUGAUGUUUGGGGUGAGGAUUGAAGGAUACUUUGGGGUAGUGNUGAUUUAANGGUGUUGGGUUAGGAUAGAUGUGANGUGAUUAAUUANGGUUAAAAGGUUAGAGGUGAUAAAUCGUUAAGGAUGUUGACGUA